CCUUUGUACACACCGCCCGUCGCUACUACCGAUUGAAUGGCUCAGUGAGGCGUCCGGACUGGCCCAGAGAGGUCGGCAACGACCACUCAGAGCCGGAAACUUGUUCAAACUUGGUCAUUUAGAGG
Molecule: ribosomal RNA, 125 nt
Filed under: Exophiala sp.
Lineage: Eukaryota; Fungi; Ascomycota; Eurotiomycetes; Chaetothyriales; Herpotrichiellaceae
Description: partial small subunit ribosomal RNA
Rfam family: Eukaryotic small subunit ribosomal RNA
Source: RNAcentral